CUACGGGAGGCAGCAGUGGGGAAUAUUGGACAAUGGGCGCAAGCCUGAUCCAGCCAUGCCGCGUGAGUGAUGAAGGCCUUAGGGUUGUAAAGCUCUUUCACCGGUGAAGAUAAUGACGGUAACCGGAGAAGAAGCCCCGGCUAACUUCGUGCCAGCAGCCGCGGUAAUACGAAGGGGGCUAGCGUUGUUCGGAAUUACUGGGCGUAAAGCGCACGUAGGCGGACAUUUAAGUCAGGGGUGAAAUCCCGGGGCUCAACCUCGGAACUGCCUUUGAUACUGGGUGUCUUGAGUAUGGAAGAGGUAAGUGGAAUUGCGAGUGUAGAGGUGAAAUUCGUAGAUAUUCGCAGGAACACCAGUGGCGAAGGCGGCUUACUGGUCCAUUACUGACGCUGAGGUGCGAAAGCGUGGGGAGCAAACAGGAUUAGAUACCCUAGUAGUCC
Molecule: ribosomal RNA, 440 nt
Filed under: uncultured bacterium
Lineage: Bacteria
Description: bacterial SSU rRNA
Rfam family: Bacterial small subunit ribosomal RNA
Source: RNAcentral